This is a long non-coding RNA of Rosa chinensis, 851 nucleotides long. RefSeq lists it as uncharacterized. Lineage: Eukaryota; Viridiplantae; Streptophyta; Magnoliopsida; Rosales; Rosaceae. The record is from RefSeq and is a predicted model, not a curated record. The transcript has 6 exons.
GGUAUCUUGAAUUCGAUUCGAUAUCUUGAAUUCUUGCUGUGUUUGAUAGUGUGAAUUUCUCUCAGGUAGUUGCUGGGGUUUCUUUGGGCACCCAAAAUAUAAUGGUGCAAGGUUUGCUGCUUGUAUAAUAUUCGUGGGACUGAUGUUGAUUACGGUCCAGUUGUUCAUGCCUUUGCGAUAGUUACUCUGAACUCAGCUUUCUUCUAUGUAGACAAAAGGAAGGUUGAAUCUGAGAAUGCACAAAACAGGUCGCCCUGUACUUGUUGGCACAACUAGUGUUGAGCAGAGUGAUUCAUUGUCUGAGCAUUUGCAAGAAGUUGGCAUUCCCCAUGAGGUUCACAACUAGAGCAGGAGAGAGACCUGGAGGGUGCAGCAGCUAAACAUAAGAGAAAGCAGGCUUCAUCAAACUUUGAACAGACCUCUAGUAUAGAUGGUUCAAAUGUUGACCAUGAGAGAGACCUGGAAGAUGCAAAGGAUAGAUCUAAGAGAAAGAAGGUUCCUACAAUUCAUGACUGCAAGCAGUCUCCUUGCAUUCCAUCUGGUUCAGUCUCGCUUUCUCAAGGAUCUCUCACAAUUCGAACUCCAAUUUCCCCAUCGGGUUCAGUGAGGGUGAAUGGGAAAGAGAUAAGUUACAGUGAGUUUUUGGAGAGGUACAUGAGCUACCACCCCUCAAAAGCUAGCGUUUAUUGAUGUCGCAAAAGGAGUCGCAUGUUUUCAAAGUUGAAGGCAGAAACCUUGAUUACAUUUAUCUGGCAGCUAUCUGCGUCUGGAGAUAGUGGAGUACCUGAAGUGGUAGCUGAUCCUCUAGGUGAAGUUUCGAGGACAUUUCAGGAGCUUGGAAUAUGUGUUGU